GACGUAGGGCGCGAGCGUUGUCCGGAUUUAUUGGGCGUAAAGAGCUCGUAGGCGGCUUGUCGCGUCGUUCGUGAAAACCUGCAGCUCAACUGCAGGCUUGCGGUCGAUACGGGCAGGCUGGAGUUCGGUAGGGGAGACUGGAAUUCCUGGUGUAGCGGUGAAAUGCGUAGAUAUCUGGAGGAACACCGGUGGCGAAGGCGGCAUCCUGGACCGGCAUUGACGCUGAGGCGCGAAAGCCAGGGGAGCAAACGGG
This 253-nucleotide ribosomal RNA is filed under the name uncultured bacterium. Its description in RNAcentral is "partial 16S ribosomal RNA". It matches the Rfam family "Bacterial small subunit ribosomal RNA", at positions 524 to 776 of the family's 1533-position model. The record is from RNAcentral.